RNAcentral lists this ribosomal RNA (486 nucleotides) under Triticum aestivum (bread wheat). RNAcentral describes it as "partial small subunit ribosomal RNA". Lineage: Eukaryota; Viridiplantae; Streptophyta; Magnoliopsida; Poales; Poaceae. The record is from RNAcentral.
GAGGGUGAGUGCGUGCUUCUGGCUACCCAUGUCGACCGCGGAUUUUCUUUGCCGCCGAGUGUUUUCUUCCGUGGUUUCUUGAACUUCUUUGGAGCGCAACUCCACCACUUCACCCCGAAUUCUAUCGCCUAUCUUGCCGCGUUUGUGUCCAUGUGUGAGAGUUUUCUGGGUUGUCGACCGCAUUGGGGCUUGUUCAAGCACAUAUUCACGUGUCGCUCUCAGACCGUGAAGAAGGCGAGCCCAGGCGACGAAAAAACCCAAGUUGUCCAAAUGUGUGGGGGUUUGGGGAUCCAGGUGAGGAACAAGAGCACCUUCCCAGCCAUGACAUUUCCUGAGUCAGUCAGAGGCUGGCAGUCGACCUGGUUCUACUGCCAGGAUCAGCCGACGCCGGGGCAGUCGAGUGGACUCCCUCGGUUCACCAUGGGCCGAGUGAACAAGCCCUCCUCUCUGAAGGUGAUUCCGGAGGAGAAAGCUGACGUGAAGAUG